GUGUUGGGGAUGGAGGAAGGGGGACAAUGGGGACAAGGGGGACAAUGGGGACACCAAUGACACCAAAAUUGGGGUACAGGGAUGUGGGGACACCACAAAUGGGGCAUCAAGGUCUAUAGGGUGUUGGGGACGGGGGAAUGGGGACAAUGGGGACACCAAUGACACCAAAAUUGGGGUACGAGGAUGUGGGGACACCAAAAUUGGGGUACAGGGACAUGGGGACACCAAUGACACCAAAGUUGGGGUACGGGGACAUGGGGACAUCAAUGACACCGGGAAUGGGGCACCAAGGUCUGUGGGGUGUUGGGGAUGGGGAAAAGGGGACAAUGGGGACACCAAUGACACCAAAAUUGGGGUACAGGGAUGUGGGGACACCACAAAUGGGGCAUCAAGGUCUAUAGGGUGUUGGGGACGGGGGAAUGGGGACAAUGGGGACACUAAAAUUGGGGUACGAGGAUGUGGGGACACCACAAAUGAGUCACGGAGGGCCAUAGGGUGUUGGGGAUGGGGACGUGGGGACAAGGGGGACAAGGGGGACACCAAUGACACCAAAGUUGGGAUACAAGAAUGUGGGGACACCAAAAUUGGGGUACAGAGAUGUGGGGACACCGAUGACACCAAACUUGGGGGACGGGGACAUGGGGACACCAGGGAUGGGGCAUCAAGGUCUAUAGGGUGUUGGGGACGGGGGAAUGGGGACAAUGGGGACACCAAUGACACCAAAAUUGGGGUACGAGGAUGUGGGGACACCAAAAUUGGGGUACAGGGACAUGGGGACACCAAUGACACCAAAGUUGGGGUACGGGGACAUGGGGACAUCAAUGACACCGGGAAUGGGGCACCAAGGUCUGUGGGGUGUUGGGGAUGGGGAAAAGGGGACAAUGGGGACGCCAAAAUUGGGGUACGGGGACAUGGGGACACCAAUGAC
RNAcentral lists this long non-coding RNA (928 nucleotides) under Anas platyrhynchos platyrhynchos (common mallard). Its description in RNAcentral is "lncRNA (ENSAPLG00000020395.1)". The record is from RNAcentral. Lineage: Eukaryota; Metazoa; Chordata; Aves; Anseriformes; Anatidae.